Molecule: ribosomal RNA, 253 nt
Filed under: uncultured bacterium
Lineage: Bacteria
Description: partial 16S ribosomal RNA
Rfam family: Bacterial small subunit ribosomal RNA
Source: RNAcentral
UACGGAGGGGGCUAGCGUUGUUCGGAAUUACUGGGCGUAAAGCGCACGUAGGCGGCUUUGUAAGUUAGAGGUGAAAGCCCAGGGCUUAACCCUGGAAUUGCCUUUAAGACUGCAUCGCUAGAAUUGUGGAGAGGUAAGUGGAAUUCCGAGUGUAGAGGUGAAAUUCGUAGAUAUCGAGAGGAACACCGGUGGCGAAGGCGGCCUUCUGGACAGUGACUGACGCUGAGACGCGAAAGCGUGGGGAGCAAACAGG